GAGGAGUUCACAGCUGCAGGGGUUUCUGGAGAGACUUAAAUUGUCUGGAAUCUGAAGCGGUGAGAAGAUCUGGCUGCACACCCUUCUUACCUGUGAGGCUCACAUCCGCCAGCCCUCCUGUUGGGCUCUCCGCAGGAAGUGUAUAUCUCCUUUCCCGGUGCGUACCUGGCUUCCCCUGUCUUCAUCCUCAGUGCUCAGGCCAACUUUGGUUCAGCUGUGAUGCUCUCCAUCUGGGAGGUUCAUCACUAACCUGUCUCCAACUGCCAUGCCCGAGGGAGCUCCUGGUCUUGUCAUCUCGUCUCUCCAGCCAGAAAUCUCCCACGGCUUCCAACUGCCUUCAGGAUAAACUCGAAACUCUGUACUCCCUUAGUGUGGCACACGGGGGCCUCCCUGACUGGGCCCAGGCCACACUUAGCAGGCCGAGAAUGAACUAGGUAGCCGGACUGUCUGGAAUUCAAACUCUGACUCCACUCUAACCGCGAUGGCAACUUCAGUGACUUCUCUGAGCCUCCAUUUCCUUGUUGCUAAAAUGAGUACGCUAAGAAGGGACUCACUUCACCUGGUAGUGGUAGGAAUGACUCACCUGCCUCUCUAGAACUGGCUUGAGACGAGGGUUCAGGGAUCAGCUGCCACCCACUCACUGCUCCUCGGUGGGUGGACUUCUGUCAACUCUGGGGUCCUUCCCAACCCCAACGCUCACGUCAUAUUUCCGUUCCCUCACCUGGUCGUCGUCGUGGCCCUCUUCUCCUGUGAAGAGACACCUGAGUGAAGCACCUCGGGUGUCUCCUAACGUCACUGUGAACACCGUCAGAAAGGUGGGGGCAGGAACUUUGGUCCCAUGGAGGACAGGAAGUUCAGAUUUCCCUGGCCCAUGAGUCACGGAGCUUGUAUUUGAUCUGUGCACAAAUAUGGCGACCUACUCGUGACUCACACCGAGUUAGGAUGUGACCUGUUCUCUCCCCACGUCAGUGGGGCUUAGAGAUAUCUCCCAGGCCCUUCAAGCGCACUCACCUUGGCCCCCUUUACUCCACGAGAUAACUUUCUUCCAUGAAUCUCAGGGCCCUUUUCUACCCUGGGAACUUGGGGGUUAGGGGGCUCUUAGGUAAAGCACCCUGUGUCUUCUACACACUUUUUAUGCAAGUAGUGACUUUGCUCAGUAGCUAUGAGAGGUCUAAGAGAGAGGACCUUAGGUCCUGGCUGGGAACCCAGGGACUGAAGCCCCUUUGCCCUGCCUUCUUGUUCAUAGCCUGAUUAAGUAGGCUGUUCACGGUGUUCUCAGUUAAGCAAGGGAAACUGCUUCACUGUGGCUUCCUAACCUUGCUCUUAAACACAGCCUCUGUCAUGUCUCUUGACUAAAAAAAAAUAUUAAAACAUUAAUCUCUGCCUUCUCAUGUACCCUACGACAG
RNAcentral lists this long non-coding RNA (1406 nucleotides) under Fukomys damarensis (Damara mole-rat). RNAcentral describes it as "lncRNA (ENSFDAG00000030922.1)". The record is from RNAcentral. Lineage: Eukaryota; Metazoa; Chordata; Mammalia; Rodentia; Bathyergidae.